GAUGAACGCUGGCGGCAUGCCUAAGACAUGCAAGUCGAACGAGAUGGCCCAGUGAAGGUUGAGUGCUUGCACGAGACUGAAUCUGGAUUCCCAUCUAGUGGCAGACGGGUGAGUAACACGUGGGUGACCUACCUUUUCGUUGGGGAUAACAGUUGGAAACGAUUGCUAAUACCGAAUAAAAUGUAAGAGUCAAUUUUACAUUGAAAGGAGCCUUUAAAGCUUCGCGAUUAGAUGGGCCUGCGGCGUAUUAACUAGUUGGUGAGGUAAUGGCUUACCAAGGUGACGAUGCGUAGCCGAACUGAGAGGUUGAUCGGCCACAUUGGGACUGAGACACGGCCCAAAACUCCUAACGGGAGACAGCAGUUAGGAAUAUCGUCAAUGGAGGAAACUCUGAACGAGCAAUGCCGACGUGAGUGAUGAAGGUCUUAUAGAUUGUAAAACUCUAGUUGUAUGG
Molecule: ribosomal RNA, 454 nt
Filed under: uncultured bacterium
Lineage: Bacteria
Description: bacterial SSU rRNA
Rfam family: Bacterial small subunit ribosomal RNA
Source: RNAcentral